RNAcentral lists this ribosomal RNA (253 nucleotides) under uncultured bacterium. RNAcentral describes it as "partial 16S ribosomal RNA". It matches the Rfam family "Bacterial small subunit ribosomal RNA", at positions 524 to 776 of the family's 1533-position model. The record is from RNAcentral.
UACGAAGGGGGCUAGCGUUGUUCGGAAUCACUGGGCGUAAAGCGCACGUAGGCGGAUUGUUAAGUCGGGGGUGAAAUCCUGAGGCUCAACCUCAGAACUGCCUUCGAUACUGGCAAUCUCGAGUCCGGAAGAGGUUGGUGGAACAGCUAGUGUAGAGGUGAAAUUCGUAGAUAUUAGCUAGAACACCAGUGGCGAAGGCGGCCACCUGGACUGAUACUGACACUGAGGUGCGAAAGCGUGGGGAGCAAACAGG